GAUGAACGCUGGCGGCGUGCCUAAUACAUGCAAGUCGAGCGAACAGACGAGGAGCUUGCUCCUCUGACGUUAGCGGCGGACGGGUGAGUAACACGUGGAUAACCUCCCUAUAAGACUGGGAUAACUUCGGGAAACCGGAGCUAAUACCGGAUAAUAUAUUGAACCGCAUGGUUCAAUAGUGUAAGACGGUUUUGCUGUCACUUAUAGAUUGAUCCGCGCCGCAUUAGCUAGUUGGUAAGGUAACGGCUUACCAAGGCAACGAUGCGUAGCCGACCUGAGAGGGUGAUCGGCCACACUGGAACUGAGACACGGUCCAGACUCCUACGGGAGGCAGCAGUAGGGAAUCUUCCGCAAGGGGCGAAAGCCUGACGGAGCAACGCCGCGUGAGUGAUGAAGGUCUUCGGAUCGUAAAACGCUGUUAUUAGGGAAGAACAAAUGUGUAAGUAACUAUGCACGUCUUGACGGUACCUAAUCAGAAAGCCACGGCUAACUACGUG
RNAcentral lists this ribosomal RNA (497 nucleotides) under uncultured bacterium. Its description in RNAcentral is "partial 16S ribosomal RNA". It matches the Rfam family "Bacterial small subunit ribosomal RNA", at positions 28 to 507 of the family's 1533-position model. The record is from RNAcentral.